Molecule: ribosomal RNA, 492 nt
Filed under: uncultured bacterium
Lineage: Bacteria
Description: partial 16S ribosomal RNA
Rfam family: Bacterial small subunit ribosomal RNA
Source: RNAcentral
GAUGAACGCUAGCUACAGGCUUAACACAUGCAAGUCGAGGGGAAACGACAUCGAAAGCUUGCUUUUGAUGGGCGUCGACCGGCGCACGGGUGAGUAACGCGUAUCCAACCUGCCCACCACUUGGGGAUAACCUUGCGAAAGUAAGACUAAUACCCAAUGACGUCUCUAGAAGACAUCUGAAAGAGAUUAAAGAUUUAUCGGUGAUGGAUGGGGAUGCGUCUGAUUAGCUUGUUGGCGGGGUAACGGCCCACCAAGGCGACGAUCAGUAGGGGUUCUGAGAGGAAGGUCCCCCACAUUGGAACUGAGACACGGUCCAAACUCCUACGGGAGGCAGCAGUGAGGAAUAUGGGUCAAUGAACGAGAGUCUGAACCAGCCAAGUAGCGUGCAGGAUGACGGCCCUAUGGGUUGUAAACUGCUUUUAUAAGGGAAUAAAGUGAGUCUCGUGAGACUUUUUGCAUGUACCUUAUGAAUAAGGACCGGCUAAUUCCGUG